RNAcentral lists this ribosomal RNA (518 nucleotides) under Salmonella enterica subsp. enterica serovar Senftenberg. RNAcentral's name for it is "partial 23S ribosomal RNA". It matches the Rfam family "Bacterial large subunit ribosomal RNA", at positions 2270 to 2788 of the family's 2925-position model. Lineage: Bacteria; Pseudomonadati; Pseudomonadota; Gammaproteobacteria; Enterobacterales; Enterobacteriaceae. RNAcentral also lists the same sequence under 1 other name. The record is from RNAcentral.
UGACUGGGGCGGUCUCCUCCUAAAGAGUAACGGAGGAGCACGAAGGUUGGCUAAUCCUGGUCGGACAUCAGGAGGUUAGUGCAAUGGCAUAAGCCAGCUUGACUGCGAGCGUGACGGCGCGAGCAGGUGCGAAAGCAGGUCAUAGUGAUCCGGUGGUUCUGAAUGGAAGGGCCAUCGCUCAACGGAUAAAAGGUACUCCGGGGAUAACAGGCUGAUACCGCCCAAGAGUUCAUAUCGACGGCGGUGUUUGGCACCUCGAUGUCGGCUCAUCACAUCCUGGGGCUGAAGUAGGUCCCAAGGGUAUGGCUGUUCGCCAUUUAAAGUGGUACGCGAGCUGGGUUUAGAACGUCGUGAGACAGUUCGGUCCCUAUCUGCCGUGGGCGCUGGAGAACUGAGGGGGGCUGCUCCUAGUACGAGAGGACCGGAGUGGACGCAUCACUGGUGUUCGGGUUGUCAUGCCAAUGGCACUGCCCGGUAGCUAAAUGCGGAAGAGAUAAGUGCUGAAAGCAUCUAAGCAC